This 70-nucleotide transfer RNA is filed under the name Prionobrama filigera (glass bloodfin tetra). Its description in RNAcentral is "tRNA-Trp". It matches the Rfam family "tRNA". From Rfam's summary of the family: Transfer RNA (tRNA) molecules are approximately 80 nucleotides in length. Their secondary structure includes four short double-helical elements and three loops (D, anti-codon, and T loops). Further hydrogen bonds mediate the characteristic L-shaped molecular structure. tRNAs have two regions of fundamental functional importance: the anti-codon, which is responsible for specific mRNA codon recognition, and the 3' end, to which the tRNAs corresponding amino acid is attached (by aminoacyl-tRNA synthetases). tRNAs cope with the degeneracy of the genetic code in two manners: having more than one tRNA (with a specific anti-codon) for a particular amino acid; and 'wobble' base-pairing, i.e. permitting non-standard base-pairing at the 3rd anti-codon position. The record is from RNAcentral. Lineage: Eukaryota; Metazoa; Chordata; Actinopteri; Characiformes; Characidae.
AAAGACUUAAGUUAAUUCAAACUGAAGGCCUUCAAAGCCUUAAAUGGAAGUUAAAAUCUUCCAGUCUUUG